AGCAGCACAGGCAGACUUCACACCCGUUUCCAGUUUGUCACUGAAUGGUUGCAUGAGCCUGAAGCAGCAAACAGCCACAUAGAUACAAGUCACAGCCCAGAGCCUAAUUUCCUGGGAAUUAAAUGGGCCAAACCGAGUCAGGCAUUCACCAAGUUUAAAAUUACCCCCUGAAGACUGAGAAUGGAAGAACAGAGAACACAUGGAAAUGCUACUUAGAUAAAUGGAAACAAACCGUCUGACCAGAGCAGUGUUUUUGUAAUUUGCUAGAAAUACAUCACUACUUUAAUGUUGGUAAACGGAUGAAACAGACUAGGACUGACUAAGAGAGGCAGAACUGACAUUAGAGCACAGGGAAAGGCGUGAUGCUCUCAGGAAUGAUCAGAAAUGGCAAAUUGGAAAGAAAGCUCCAAGGACACCAGUUUUGUAACAAUAGAAAGACUAUUUGCUCCCUGCAUGUCCAUGGAUGCACACCCAGUUUGGAUGCCACUGCCUGGGAGCAUGCGUGGCUUUUGUCUUGUGUCACUCCUGUCCUGAGUCUUGUCAUAUACUUUGGGAGCUGGCAAGGACUCACUCACAGGACAUCGUCCUCCUGUUAAGGAGAUAUGUCAGCUCUGACGCAGAAAUGUGGCUGGAGCUUGUGGGGCAGUUCAAGACCCUCUGUCCCUUAAACCUUUCAAGAGAUUACUGGCAGGAGAGUUAAAUUGUUCUGCCAGCUAGACCUGAAGAGAGCCCACUGCCAAGCAGCUGGGCUGCACUCCUUGGCUGUGCAGGAGCUCCUCUGGGGACAUGAGUGGCAGUGUGACACCCCGGCACCACGAUGCCAUUUGCAUCAUCAGGUUACUUGCAGG
Molecule: long non-coding RNA, 848 nt
Organism: Vidua macroura (Pin-tailed whydah)
Lineage: Eukaryota; Metazoa; Chordata; Aves; Passeriformes; Viduidae
Exons: 3
Source: RefSeq, a predicted model, not a curated record